GACGAACGCUGGCGGCGUGCUUAACACAUGCAAGUCGAACGAGAAUCACUGGAAGGAGUUUUCGGACAACGGAAGGUGAGGACAGUGGCGGACGGGUGAGUAACGCGUGAGGAACCUGCCUUUCAGAGGGGGACAACAGUUGGAAACGACUGCUAAUACCGCAUGACACAUAGAGAUCGCAUGGUUUUUAUGUCAAAGAUUUAUCGCUGAAAGAUGGCCUCGCGUCUGAUUAGCUAGUUGGUGAGGUAACGGCCCACCAAGGCGACGAUCGGUAGCCGGACUGAGAGGUUGACCGGCCACAUUGGGACUGAGAUACGGCCCAGACUCCUACGGGAGGCAGCAGUGGGGAAUAUUGGGCAAUGGGCGCAAGCCUGACCCAGCAACGCCGCGUGAAGGAAGAAGGCUUUCGGGUUGUAAACUUCUUUUGUCGGGGACGAGUAGAAGACGGUACCUGGCGAAUAAGCCACGGCUAACUACGUGCCAGCAGCCGCGGUAAUACGUAGGUGGCAAGCGUUGUCCGGAUUUACUGGGUGUAAAGGGCGUGUAGCCGGGAAGGCAAGUCAGAUGUGAAAUCCACGGGCUUAACUCGUGAACUGCAUUUGAAACUACUUUUCUUGAGUAUCGGAGAGGCAAUCGGAAUUCCUAGUGUAGCGGUGAAAUGCGUAGAUAUUAGGAGGAACACCAGUGGCGAAGGCGGAUUGCUGGA
This 706-nucleotide ribosomal RNA is filed under the name uncultured Lachnospiraceae bacterium. RNAcentral describes it as "bacterial SSU rRNA". It matches the Rfam family "Bacterial small subunit ribosomal RNA", at positions 28 to 733 of the family's 1533-position model. The record is from RNAcentral. Lineage: Bacteria; Bacillati; Bacillota; Clostridia; Lachnospirales; Lachnospiraceae.